UGGGGAAUUUUGGACAAUGGGCGAAAGCCUGAUCCAGCAAUGCCGCGUGUGUGAAGAAGGCCUUCGGGUUGUAAAGCACUUUUGUCCGGAAAGAAAUCCUUGGCUCUAAUACAGUCGGGGGAUGACGGUACCGGAAGAAUAAGCACCGGCUAACUACGUGCCAGCAGCCGCGGUAAUACGUAGGGUGCAAGCGUUAAUCGGAAUUACUGGGCGUAAAGCGUGCGCAGGCGGUUUGCUAAGACCGAUGUGAAAUCCCCGGGCUCAACCUGGGAACUGCAUUGGUGACUGGCAGGCUAGAGUAUGGCAGAGGGGGGUAGAAUUCCACGUGUAGCAGUGAAAUGCGUAGAGAUGUGGAGGAAUACCGAUGGCGAAGGCAGCCCCCUGGGCCAAUACUGACGCUCAUGCACGAAAGCGUGGGGAGCAAACAGGAUUAGAUACCCUGGUAGUCCACGCCCUAAACGAUGUCAACUAGUUGUUGGGGAUUCAUUUCCUUAGUAACGUAGCUAACGCGUGAAGUUGACCGCCUGGUGAGUACGGUCGCAAGAUUAAAACUCAAAUGAAUUGACGGGGUCAUAGCUGUUUCCU
Molecule: ribosomal RNA, 585 nt
Filed under: uncultured bacterium
Lineage: Bacteria
Description: partial 16S ribosomal RNA
Rfam family: Bacterial small subunit ribosomal RNA
Source: RNAcentral